This 1373-nucleotide long non-coding RNA is filed under the name Cyanistes caeruleus (blue tit). RNAcentral's name for it is "lncRNA (ENSCCEG00000012221.1)". The record is from RNAcentral. Lineage: Eukaryota; Metazoa; Chordata; Aves; Passeriformes; Paridae.
GGUUUUGCUCUGCUUACUCUCCUUGCUUUGGGUUAUUUAAGGCCAUUCAUCUGCAUGGAAUAGGUUAUUAUGAGUGUUUUCUAGGCUUUGACUCUAUACUUCUGCCAAAGUAAAAUUAGCAUGUUCUAUUUCUCCACCCAAAUACCAAAGGACAAGUGUCCAACCUUUAGCCCUCGAUCUGAAGGGGGCUCUGAAUUUUGGAAGUGUCCCUCACACUACCAGUGAGCAGACUUGAAAUCCUGUGUCUGACCAGCUCCAGAUUUUCUGGGAUUUGAAAACUGAACUCCAGAUUUGAUAUUUGGCCUAGCUUCUUAAUGAAAAUGGAAAAUUGCAUUUCCUCAGCCUUCCUGAAGAGCAGCCCAUGAACCUGAUGAACUUGAGAUAAAAACAAGGGCUAGCAGGAUGCUAUGUCCCUCCUCUGACAGAGGUCAGCAGGAGUUUUGAGCAAGGUGGGACUGGCCCCUCUAGCUGGAAACUUCUUUAUUUGCCUCUGAGCUCCGCAGCCACUGGGGAUUGAGACCUACACAGGGGUGCGGUGGUGAGUGAGCCACUUCUUUUGCUCAGGAAAGGAUAUUUGUGAUGAGGGAAAUCACAGAUUUUAUGUGCUAACACUUCUUGAUCCUUCUUAAGCAAAAAGGGAACGUUUAGAAUGCCAAAAGCUCGUCUUAAUAUUUCACAGAGAGCCCAAAGAGACCUGGGUGCCAGGGCCCAUGGAAAUGUCUCUGCUUCACAAUGCCUUAGUGGUUGGGCACCUCAUUCUCCUCAUAUCCUGUCAGAAAAUUUUGUCUUUUUAGGGUUGUGGCACUAUCUAGUCUCCUGCUGUAAAGUUUGAUCCUGAUAAAGAAGGCAAAGCACAAACCCAGAUUUCCAGCCUGACACCGGUGAGAUUUCUCAGGCGCUUAUAUCAAAACAUAUUUUUAAAUCAAAAUUCACUCAAGUUAUAUUGCCUUUAUCUUCAGGGACGUUUAUACAUGUGAACACUCCUGGUACAAAGGGAUACUGGCACAUAGAGAAGGAUUUGGCAUCAUGAAAGCAAACAAGUACCAGUAGCCAAUCUUCAUUCUAUUGCUGCACUCAUGCAUGAUGAGCUCCAGGUUUGUCUCUUGCUUCCCUGCUCCCGAGGCUGCCCGGCUAUGAUCUGCUGUGCUGACCUUCCUAGCCAAGUCAUGGCUUUCUGGCUACCAAAUCCCAUCAGGAACUUCAUGUCUCUUGUGGUAGUCUUCAUCCAUGGCUAACUUGUAUUAUCAUUGGCACGCUUAAAAUUGUGAUGUUAUGUUUCAAAUGUUUUUAAAGCUGAAACACACAAGCUCUUUUAUUUCUCUUCUGCCUUGUAGGAUUAUUUUAGCUCUACGCAUGCAAAACCUCGUAUUAAG